RNAcentral lists this unclassified non-coding RNA (335 nucleotides) under soil metagenome. RNAcentral's name for it is "partial contains 5.8S ribosomal RNA, internal transcribed spacer 2, and large subunit ribosomal RNA". The stretch from base 1 to 119 matches the Rfam family "5.8S ribosomal RNA", at positions 36 to 154 of the family's 154-position model. The record is from RNAcentral.
AUGAAGAACGUAGCGAAAUGCGAUAAGUAAUGUGAAUUGCAGAAUUCAGUGAAUCAUCGAAUCUUUGAACGCACAUUGCGCCCGCCAGUAUUCUGGCGGGCAUGCCUGUUCGAGCGUCAUUUCAACCAUCAAGCCCCCGGCUUGUGUUGGGGACCUGCGGCUGCCGCAGGCCCUGAAAAGCAGUGGCGGGCUCGCUGUCACACCGAGCGUAGUAGAUUUCAUCUCGCUCAGGGCGUGCUGCGGGUUCCGGCCGUUAAACCACCUUCAUAACCCAAGGUUGACCUCGGAUCAGGUAGGAAGACCCGCUGAACUUAAGCAUAUCAAUAAGCGGAGGA